UCGACUGAAAUGAGAAAUCUGUUUAAUUGUUGGGUGCUUAGAAGAAAUGCAGUAGGUGAUACGGCCAAAAUAAUUACAUCUCUAAUAUUCACGGUUAUCUGCCUAUUCAAUCUAUCACACGUACAAAGAUCAUCGCCACUUUCAAGCAACUAAGCAACUUUCUCACUCUCUUUUUAUUACAGGCGAUUUGGAUUGGUUCAGUUUGCCU
Molecule: long non-coding RNA, 208 nt
Organism: Neodiprion fabricii
Lineage: Eukaryota; Metazoa; Arthropoda; Insecta; Hymenoptera; Diprionidae
Exons: 3
Source: RefSeq, a predicted model, not a curated record